RNAcentral lists this long non-coding RNA (1797 nucleotides) under Mus musculus (house mouse). Its description in RNAcentral is "RIKEN cDNA A730081D07 gene (A730081D07Rik)". The record is from RNAcentral. Lineage: Eukaryota; Metazoa; Chordata; Mammalia; Rodentia; Muridae.
ACCCUUCUGCGACGAGCUUAAGGAAGGAAGCCGCGGGAGGAGGCUCUCAGAGCAGAGAGAAAGAAAAGUUGUGUCAAGCAGAACUUUUUCUCAUUAAUAACACUGAGACCAUUCUUAAACUCCACCUUCUCUGGCGACACUACACACGGCUAUACUUCAUCUUCUCUCCACAUCCCUAAAGAAAUGAGAGACUCAGAAAGACACCCUGAGGUCUUAGAAUUUGCUUCCUACUGAUCAUGAACCAUCCUAAGGCUUGCUACAUCAUCUGCAAGAUGCAGGUCCUCAUGUGGCCCACCAGAGGGAACUGCAGACACAAGUAAACUGAAGAUGUCGGUGUUCACAAGACCCGUGCGUGAUGCUGGAGAUGGAACCUAACUCUGCACAAAUGUCAGUCAAAUGCUUGGACACUGAACUUACAUAGUUCCUCAGCUCUUCAGGAUCAGUUUGUAUUAAACGAAAUUGAUGCCCGAGCUGCUGCGGGUCAGAAAUACCAGCUCGGCUGUAUGGCGAUCUCACUCUGGUUGAGUGUUCUUUCUCGAAGCCUCAGUUCCAGGCAUUCCACGGUCUCUGUGACUGCUCCUCUCCAAACCAUUUCCCUCCAUAUUCUGAAGCCACCAUCUUGGCCCACGCUGCUUCUGUCUUACUGUCUGGACAGCGCUUAAAGGGAGGCUCCUCUUGUAAUGUGGGCGUCGGGAAGAUUCUGUUAAUACAUGGAAGGAGAGGUUCUACUCCAUUGAGACCGUCUACCACUGUCAUUUACGACUCCCUGCCCUGGUCACUCUGCUCUUCUGGACUCUUCCUCGCCCUACUUUAACCCUGGAUCAACCACUUCAGACACACCAUCUCCCCUGCCAGUCCCAAGCACAGCAGGCUGGCUCUCUCUGAUAGUCCCCAGAGGUUCGAACUUCUCCUGUAACCCUCUUCUCUCCCAGAGACACACAGCCCAGCCCCGGUCGACACCUCAAGGUCAUGUUCUCAGAAAGACCUAUGUAAUGGCUAUUCCUGUUUGUCAACUUGACUCUAUCUGGAAUGACCUACAAUCCAGAAUUGGAGGGCUCACCUGUGAUCCAGAUCUUGAGGCUGGAAGACACAAGUUUCUGACCUCAAUCUUAGCAUGGAGAUCUUGAGGCACAGUGGCCAUGAAAAGCUUAGGUCCAGGCAAGGUUGUAUAUGUCUUUAAUCUCAGGAGACUUGAGACAAGGAGAUCUCUGAGUUUAAGGUCAGCCUGGGACAAAAGCAAGUCCCAGAUCCAGGCAUGGUGGUAACACACCUUUAAUCUGGGCCACACCUUCUGCUGGAGGCCUACAUAAAGACAUUGGAAGGAGGAAGAUUCCCUCUUCUUUGCACUUAGCUGCCAGCACAUCUGUUGGAACCUUCUUCUACAGAUGACCAGCUGAAACAACUAGCUGGUGGGACUGAGAACUACAAGAUUCUUGGACUUCCCAUUCACAGCUGAGCAUUGUGGGACUACAGACUGUAAGUCCUCACAAUACAUCCCCUUCAUAUAGAGAGACAUUCCCUAAGCACUGUGACCUAGAGAACCCUGACUAAUGCAGCCUACCCAACUGCCCUCCCUCCCUCACUUGUGUUUUAGGAUUUAUUGUCAAUUGACGAGUGUGCAUGUGUGUAUAUGUACACGUGUAAACACACACAGAGCGCAUGCAUAGAUGUAUGCAUCAUAUAGAUAACAUACACAUAAAUAUUAUACAAUUAUAGAUAAUCUUUACAAAGUUAUAGUUUCAUUUAUGCAUUAAUUUUUGUUUCAUAAAUACAUAUUAAAAUGUGUAAGGCUAUACA